GCAGAGACCUAGCGGACAGUUUUCCGGUGGCAGCAAUGCUCAUUUCCCGGACACAGAUGGUUUUUGGCCCCUGAAGAACUCUUUAAUCCCUGCGUUUUGUAGCGCUCGUUCUCUAAUAAGGUUCACACCCACCUCCCUGCAAUCUGAUUUGGACGGCCCAUGAGACCAGAAGAUUACAAAAACGCAAAAGAUGUUGACUUAUGAGUCCUAGAUACCCUGUAUCCGCUGGUGAAAGGACGCGAUGGAGUUGCCGUGUCCCCUCCGAGUUUGGCAGGCCCGGGAUUCCGCAAAGGAGGCGGCGGGACCAGAUGCCUCCAGCCCGGAGCUCAGUACAUUCGGUGUCCUGGAUGCUCCCUUCCUGUGCUUACCACUGCGAGCUCUCCUGGGCCGACCUAGAUUUCCACUGCCACAUACUUUCCGCUCCCUGCGUGCUUCCUUGCUGAAACUGCCGGCGAAAAGAUCUCUUUCCCAAGCCUCAGAGUACCUGGAGGCGGGGCGCAGAGUCGCCUGCUCUGGAUCCGGCGCAGGCAAUUCAGGAGGAGCCGCAGGAGCCCUCGGGAGAGCAGGAGGCUGCAUAGGGUCUCAACAUACGCCCGCCCGCCCCCGCAGCCUCCCUCGCAACUCGCCUCUCGCUUAGUGGACAGACGACUGGAGCCGGAGACUUCCAUCCGAGAAGACCUUUGAGAGUGUCAGCCUACUGCUGUCCCCUGGUGCCACCAACCAAAGUUCCAAGACUGCUGGCUGCAGAUGGCAUGCGCUUGGGGACAGACGCCCUGAGACUGUGUCCACGGCCCGCCUUUGGAAUCCUGGGCCCUGAAACUUCCUCUGAGACCUUCCAUUGGAUGAUCCUCUUGUAAAUAAAUAAAUAAAUAAAUAAAGUUACAAUAAUACCUGA
Homo sapiens (human) is the source of this 895-nucleotide long non-coding RNA. Lineage: Eukaryota; Metazoa; Chordata; Mammalia; Primates; Hominidae. The record is from Ensembl.